Long non-coding RNA from Hemicordylus capensis (graceful crag lizard), 1188 nucleotides. RefSeq lists it as uncharacterized. The transcript is spliced from 2 exons. The record is from RefSeq and is a predicted model, not a curated record. NCBI's taxonomy places the organism in Eukaryota, Metazoa, Chordata, Lepidosauria, Squamata, Cordylidae.
UGGCAUGUGAAUCUGCUUCCCAUUUUCCUUGUUGGCUUGAGUCGCUGGAUCCUCCCCCUUUUCUGGCUUUUGGCUCUUCAGCCACAUUUCAUAGAGCUGCUCCAUGUCUUGAACUAAAAGGAGAAGAGAAGCUGGUCCACAUUUCUCGCUCUUCGGGACUGUGAGCAAAGGAGCAGUUCCCAACAUACUGACAUUUCUUGCCUGAUGCAAUAUGAUUGCAUAGCUAAAGAAGAAAGAAAGUGUCAGAUAAGCGGAGGAGUAAUUUGAUGUCCAUUCACUUAAAUAGCAUGGAGCUGAAGAAGCAUGUACAGCAGUUGUAAAAAUGACAGGCCUAGUGCAAGCACAAGAUUCUUUUAUUAGAGGAUCACCCACUGGCUACACGAAGCCAAGUUGCAUGUUCUCUCUUACGCAAACUUGCCUGUACUAAAGUGCAGAUUAUUCCAUUACAAUCUGAAGUGAAUCAGUGUGAUGUUGUGGUUAAAGUGCUAAACUAGUAUUGGGAAGACCUGGGUUCAAAUUCCCCACUCUGCCACAAAGCUCACUGAGAAGCCAGGGAUUAGUUGACACUCAGCCUAACUGACCUCACAAGUUUGACGAGAAGAUAAAAAGGGGACCCCGACCCCAUCCCCACCUUGAGCUCCUUGGACAAAGACUGGGAUGUAAGUGCACUAAACCUCUUUCCCUUCAAAUGAAAAACCUGCAGCCCUUCUAAUCUGGAGUCCAAUGAUCAUAUGUCAUCAGCCAAUAAUAUUGCAUCAGCCAAUAAUAUUUGUAGAACAUAAUCUUGCAAAAGAGCAGCAAAAUACGCAAGUCAAGCUUGUUCCUCUUUUAAACAAAGUUAUAAACACACUUUUAAAAAUUUAAAUGCUCACAGCUGUGAAGCAUUUUAGAGUAAAAGUACAAGAUAGUACAAAUUGUUCAAGGCCUGUGGAAUGCACUCUCAGCAGAUAUCUGUAGUUUGGGCUCAUUGUUUAACGUGAGAGCUCAACCUAACCUUUAAGAAAGCCCUAAACAUUUACUUGUUUGGUCUGGCCUUCCAAGGUUUUUAAAUUGUUCUUAAAAUAUUUUUAAUUGGUUUUGAAUUGUUUUAGUUUUAAAUGGUGUUUGUUUUUUAUUUAUUGUGCACUGCCCAGAGCUGUUGGAUGGGAUGGUAUACAAGUGUAAUUAAUAAAUAAAGAUGAAAUCUUU